Molecule: transfer RNA, 73 nt
Filed under: Bos taurus (domestic cattle)
Lineage: Eukaryota; Metazoa; Chordata; Mammalia; Artiodactyla; Bovidae
Also listed under: 3 other names
Rfam family: tRNA
About the family: Transfer RNA (tRNA) molecules are approximately 80 nucleotides in length.
Source: Rfam by way of RNAcentral
UCCCUGGAGGUCUAGUGGUUAAGACUCUGUGCUUUCAACGCAGAGGGCAUGAGUUUGAUCCCUAAUUGGGGAA